AUGGACAAAGUUGUCCGCGAAUGUCCGUUUUGGUCCGGCGCGACCCCAAAUCUGAAGCAAAGUUGGGCAACAAAUGAGUCUGUGCGGACACAAACAGACGUUGUCCUCGUCCUCUCUCGUCCGCUCAUGUUCUCAUCUGGCCCACGUAUCAGCGACCCACACCGAGCCACUCGUGACCUCGUUAAUCUUGCUCCCCGCGCCGGCAGCCGGCCGCCCACCGCCGCCGCCUGCCUCAUACGCAUGUCCAUCCUUCGGACGUCCGUCCAAUCGUUUCUCAAACUGUUCAAAACGGACAUCCGGAUGGAGUCUAGCGGUGGAGUUAGCCUUAGUUUUCCAGGCAGCAAGCCUGGUAAGCUAUCUCAAAUAGUUUUCCGUCUCUGGUCCUAUGCACUGGGCCAGCACAUUAACUUUGACCAAAUAACUUUGAUCAAACCCAUACUGCAAAAGCCACAGACCAUACAGCACGCCAAAACCGACCUUUUCCAAUUCAGCUCUAGGAUUCAGCAUGAUACCGUGGAAUUCACUGCACCACACACAUACCCAUACGACCAUAUCCACGAAAAGUUAUAUCUGCGCACGCGCAUCACCGAGCGCGCGCCUUCCCUUUCCUCUCCUCCUCCUCGUAGCUUCUCUUCCCGGUUCCUCCUCUCUCUCCCCGUCCCGUGCUUGGCCAUGCCGGGCGCUAGCUCGCCGAGAGGCCGCGCCGGCGCCGGCAGGAGGUGGUGUGCGCGCGGGGACCUCCUGACCGUGGCCGUCGCCGCGAUGCUCUGCUCGGCGACCUACUGCUUCUCCAUAUGGCACAACGGGCGCAACGCGGCGGAUAAGAUCGUCAUCGGGCCCGCCUCCUUCGUCGUCGCGGGCGCCGCGCUGUGCGGGGGCGACGCCACGGAGCUCGACUUUGCGGCGCACCACACCGCCGAGCGGGCCGGGCUCUCCGUGUCGUCCUCGUCGCCGACGGUCACGGGGCGACGGGCAUUGCGCGCGGUCGCGGUGCCCAUGGACGGUACCGGGCGCCGUGGCUUGGUGUUGGCGGGGAACUCGGUUGGCAGCUCGGAGGCCGCCGACGCCAAGAAGAGGGCACGGGUCAACGGCGAUAAGUUCCGGUCAACACACGCCGGUACCGUCCGCGCGUAG
This 1134-nucleotide ribosomal RNA is filed under the name Triticum aestivum (bread wheat). RNAcentral's name for it is "partial small subunit ribosomal RNA". Lineage: Eukaryota; Viridiplantae; Streptophyta; Magnoliopsida; Poales; Poaceae. The record is from RNAcentral.